AGUGAACGCUGGCGGCGUGCUUAACACAUGCAAGUCGAACGAGAACGGAUUAUAGCUUGCUAUAAUUGUCAGCUAAGUGGCGCACGGGUGAGUAAUGUAUAGGUAAUAUGCUUCUUACUAAGGGAUAACAAAUGGAAACGUUUGCUAAUACCUUAUACUCCUAUUAACAUAAGUUAAUAAGGGAAAGAUUUAUUGGUAAGAGAUUAGCCUGUAUUGUAUCAGUUAGUUGGUGGGGUAAUGGCUUACCAAGACUAUGACACAUAACUGGUUUGAGAGGAUGAUCAGUCACACUGGAACUGAGACACGGUCCAGACUCCUACGGGAGGCAGCAGUGGGGAAUAUUGCACAAUGGACGAAAGUCUGAUGCAGCAACGCCGCGUGGAGGAUGACACAUUUCGGUGCGUAAACUCCUUUUAUAUGAGAAGAUAAUGACGGUAUUAUAUGAAUAAGCACCGGCUAACUCCGUGCCAGCCGCCGCCGUAA
Molecule: ribosomal RNA, 483 nt
Filed under: uncultured bacterium
Lineage: Bacteria
Description: partial 16S ribosomal RNA
Rfam family: Bacterial small subunit ribosomal RNA
Source: RNAcentral